CCUGUAAAGCAUGGGUACUCUACUGCCUCUGUAUCUGUUGUUCUGACAAGCUAGGUGCCAGAGUUUCUUCACACGAUGGUGAUCAUCUGUUUCAGCUAAUGAAGACCUUUCUGCCCUGCUGUCUGUGUCUGAUGACGAUUGCCAUGGUUACCGAAGGUGGAGUCGUAUCAGAAGACACGUGUGCAGACUGGAGUUUCCAGACCUCACAGACGGAGAACCUCUCCAUGCUUUAGUCAACAGUUACGUCAACUUGACCUUUAACCUCAACACAUCUGACUGCACAUACUUUCCAGAAAAGUUUUCUGUCUUGUUGUCAUUAAGACAAGGUGAAUCACACGUUCCCAUCUGCUACAUCUUUUUAUGAAAAUGAGAACUGCAACAUCGUAGACCCUAAGAACUGUGGCUGUCUACCCGAUAAUAUGUCUCGGCUUAUUGUACCAUCAACUCACUCAGUCCGGCCGUAGUGUGUACAUCUGGACGUUGAAAGACUCAACCAUGAAGCAAUCACAGAAGAAAAUAGAAAUCACAUUCCUUGUAGAAAGUACUGUUACCUCUGACCCCCCGGGAAAAGUUCUUCCUUUACAUGGACCACAGAAGAGCUGAGCAAACCAGAUGUGCAUUAGGUAAUGUAACUCCAAGUUCCACAAAAAAUGUUACUUCUCCUGAGGACGAGACCGCAAGAAGACAUAGGACUGGCAUUAAAACAACAUUGCCAGGACUUUCCGAGACCAAAAGCGAGGCGACAGCUUUCAAGUGAUUUUCUUUACAAGCAUUAUCACUGCCAUAGUCAUCGGCGUGCCUUCGUCACAGGAAUCAUCAUUUAUGUUAAUAGAAUCAAAAAGAGAAUAAGAGGUAGGAGAAGGAGGCGGUCACAUAUUUCUUUCACAAUAAAAAUUACGAUUUUUCUGCAACUAUUUUAAUUCAGAAAAUACAUCAGGGAAGUAAAUAAACACAAACAUUAAGAAUGUGCUUCCAGUUGUGCCAUAGACAUAUACACAUAUAUACUUAGGUCGCGCCCAGUCUGGAAGAUUGCUAGAAGCAGUCAAAGUGGAAAGUGUCGAUGCGAAUUUUAAUCAAAGAAUUUGAAAUAUUUGUGGCCUCGUCGUUUCGGCUUGAGGUGAGUGUUAGAAUUAUUUUUGUUUGGUGUUUAGUGUAUUGAACGUAUUUUUUUGAUUCUUUAAUAAGUUGAUGUGUUUUAUACACUAGCACAAACACUGCUCAGGAUUUGUCAUGGCGAACAGAUUACAAAUGGCAUUAAAGAAGUCAAAGAAGUAAUAUUAGUGGCAGU
Long non-coding RNA from Pomacea canaliculata, 1288 nucleotides. RefSeq lists it as uncharacterized. NCBI's taxonomy places the organism in Eukaryota, Metazoa, Mollusca, Gastropoda, Architaenioglossa, Ampullariidae. The transcript is spliced from 3 exons. The record is from RefSeq and is a predicted model, not a curated record.